GUGGACGCAUCACUGGUGUUCGGGUUGUCAUGCCAAUGGCACUGCCCGGUAGCUAAAUGCGGAAGAGAUAAGUGCUGAAAGCAUCUAAGCACGAAACUUGCCCCGAGAUGAGUUCUCCCUGAGACUUAGAGUCUCCUGAAGGAACGUUGAAGACGACGACGUUGAUAGGCCGGGUGUGUAAGCGCAGCGAUGCGUUGAGCUAACCGGUACUAAUGAACCGUGAGGCUUAACCUU
This 234-nucleotide ribosomal RNA is filed under the name Escherichia coli. RNAcentral describes it as "partial 23S ribosomal RNA". It matches the Rfam family "Bacterial large subunit ribosomal RNA", at positions 2697 to 2925 of the family's 2925-position model. Lineage: Bacteria; Pseudomonadati; Pseudomonadota; Gammaproteobacteria; Enterobacterales; Enterobacteriaceae. RNAcentral also lists the same sequence under 27 other names. The record is from RNAcentral.